Molecule: long non-coding RNA, 204 nt
Filed under: Mytilus galloprovincialis (Mediterranean mussel)
Lineage: Eukaryota; Metazoa; Mollusca; Bivalvia; Mytilida; Mytilidae
Source: RNAcentral
CUUUCAGAUGCUCUCUAAUGAAGGAUCAUCUUGGCAGCUGUAUCCAUCCUUUUAUUUAUCUCUUUGAAAGCUUGAAAAUUGUACAGCUAUCAAUAAUAAACAAAGUCAUAAUCAGUUAAUAAAUAUAUUUGAACAUGAGAAAUGAAUAUAAAAUUCAAUUACACAAGUUACAAACAAACUACACAUUUAAAAAAAUUAGAAGAC